RNAcentral lists this ribosomal RNA (415 nucleotides) under uncultured bacterium. Its description in RNAcentral is "bacterial SSU rRNA". It matches the Rfam family "Bacterial small subunit ribosomal RNA", at positions 361 to 773 of the family's 1533-position model. The record is from RNAcentral.
AUAUUGGGCAAUGGACGCAAGUCUGACCCAGCCAUGCCGCGUGGAGGAUGAAGGUCCUCUGGAUUGUAAACUUCUUUUAUCUGAGAAGAAACCCAAGAUUUCUAUUUUGGUUGACGGUACCAGAUGAAUAAGCACCGGCUAACUCCGUGCCAGCAGCCGCGGUAAUACGGAGGGUGCAAGCGUUAUCCGGAUUCACUGGGUUUAAAGGGUGCGUAGGUGGGUUGGUAAGUCCGUGGUGAAAUCCCCAAGCUUAACUUGGGAACUGCCGUGGAUACUAUCAAUCUUGAAUAUCGUGGAGGUAAGCGGAAUAUGUCAUGUAGCGGUGAAAUGCUUAGAUAUGACAUAGAACACCGAUAGCGGAGGCAGCUUGCUACACGAUCAUUGACACUGAGGCACGAAAGCGUGGGGAGCAAAC